GAUGAACGCUGGCGGCGUGCCUAAUACAUGCAAGUCGAGCGAACAGACGAGGAGCUUGCUCCUCUGACGUUAGCGGCGGACGGGGGAGUAACACGUGGAUAACCUACCUAUAAGACUGGGAUAAAUUCGGGAAACCGGAGCUAAUACCGGAUAAUAUAUUGAACCGCAUGGUUCAAUAGUGAAAGACGGGUUUGCUGUCAAUUAUAGAUGGAUCCGCGCCGCAUUAGCUAGUUGGUAAGGUAACGGCUUACCAAGGCGACGAUGCGUAGCCGACCUGAGAGGGUGAUCGGCCACACUGGAACUGAGACACGGUCCAGACUCCUACGGGAGGCAGCAGUAGGGAAUCUUCCGCAAUGGGCGAAAGCCUGACGGAGCAACGCCGCGUGAGUGAUGAAGGUCUUCGGAUCGUAAAACUCUGUUAUUAGGGAAGAACAAAUGUGUAAGUAACUAUGCACGUCUUGACGGUACCUAAUCAGAAAGCCACGGCUAACUACGUG
This 497-nucleotide ribosomal RNA is filed under the name uncultured bacterium. RNAcentral's name for it is "partial 16S ribosomal RNA". It matches the Rfam family "Bacterial small subunit ribosomal RNA", at positions 28 to 507 of the family's 1533-position model. The record is from RNAcentral.